CAGUCGCCGCGGUAAUACGAAGGGUGCAAGCGUUACUCGGAAUUACUGGGCGUAAAGCGUGCGUAGGUGGUGGUUUAAGUCCGUUGUGAAAGCCCUGGGCUCAACCUGGGAAUUGCAGUGGAUACUGGAUCACUAGAGUGUGGUAGAGGAUAGUUGAACUUCCGGUGUAGCAGUGAAAUGCGUAGAGAUCGGAAGGAACAUCUGUGGCGAAGGCGACUAUCUGGGCCAACACUGACACUGAGGCACGAAAGCGUGGGGAGCAAACAGGAUUAGAUACCCCUGUAGUCCCUGUCUCUUAUAC
This 301-nucleotide ribosomal RNA is filed under the name uncultured bacterium. RNAcentral describes it as "partial 16S ribosomal RNA". It matches the Rfam family "Bacterial small subunit ribosomal RNA", at positions 509 to 807 of the family's 1533-position model. The record is from RNAcentral.